This is a non-coding RNA of Camellia sinensis, 641 nucleotides long. The record is from RefSeq and is a predicted model, not a curated record. NCBI's taxonomy places the organism in Eukaryota, Viridiplantae, Streptophyta, Magnoliopsida, Ericales, Theaceae.
CAGCUUCUCCAGCAGAGAGAGUAUUUUGGUCAGUAUGGAAAGGUGCUGAAGGUGUCUAUAUCUCGGACAGCAGCUGGUGCUAUUCAACAUUUUGCAAACAAUACUUGUAGUGUAUAUAUUACUUACUCAAAGGAGGAGGAAGCGGUUCGAUGUAUUCAAUCAGUGCAUGGGUUUACCUUGGAUGGUAGAUCAUUGAGGUGGGAAAUGGCUACAUUCAAGAUUUAUGCUCUAUUUUGUAUUCUCUUAUGUAGGUGUUGGGAUUUCAUUUUGCAGGGCAUGCUUUGGAAUCACAAAGUAUUGUCAUGCCUGACUGAGAAAUGUGGCAUGAUUUCUGAAUUAUUGAUUGGAAAUUGGACUAUUGGUUAUAGGUGAGGAUUGAAAUUUUUUUGGUGCAGUCUUGCAGCAAUCCUGUUUGUCUAUAUUUGCAUGAGAUUGGCACACAAGAAGAUAGUUUCGCUAAAGAUGGAAUAAUAUCAGCAUACACAAGAAAUUCACUGUACCUCAGAAAUUCUUCAGUCAUUUUUAUGUGUUGGCUGUGGUGUGGACAACAUUGUUGCUGGUCACAACUUGGUUUUAUGCAUAUAAAGAGGCACCAUUGGUCUCUGGGCCUUUACAAUACUCCACUAUUGUCAGCUACUUAA